AGGACGAACGCUGGCGGCGUGCUUAACACAUGCAAGUCGAGCGGAAAGGCCCUUCGGGGUACUCGAGCGGCGAACGGGUGAGUAACACGUGAGCAACCUGCCCUUAGCUCCGGGAUAGCUCCGGGAAACCGGAAUUAAUACCGGAUACGACCACGGCCGACAUCUGCUGUGGUGGAAAGGAUUCCGGCUAAGGAUGGGCUCGCGGCCUAUCAGCUAGUUGGUGGAGUAACGGCCCACCAAGGCGACGACGGGUAGCCGGCCUGAGAGGGCGACCGGCCACACUGGGACUGAGACACGGCCCAGACUCCUACGGGAGGCAGCAGUGGGAAUAUUGCGCAAUGGGCGAAAGCCUGACGCAGCGACGCCGCGUGGGGGAUGAAGGCCUUCGGGUUGUAAACCCCUUUCAGCAGGGACGAAGCGAAAGUGACGGUACCUGCAGAAGAAGCGCCGGCUAACUACGCGCCAGCAGCCGC
This 473-nucleotide ribosomal RNA is filed under the name uncultured bacterium. RNAcentral's name for it is "SSU rRNA". It matches the Rfam family "Bacterial small subunit ribosomal RNA", at positions 26 to 518 of the family's 1533-position model. The record is from RNAcentral.